GCCGACUUAGCUCAGUUGGUAGAGCACCUGAUUUGUAAUCAGGGGGUCGGGCGUUCGAAUCGUCUAGUCGGCACCA
RNAcentral lists this transfer RNA (76 nucleotides) under Dellaglioa algida. RNAcentral's name for it is "Lactobacillus algidus tRNA-Thr". It matches the Rfam family "tRNA". Rfam says of the family: Transfer RNA (tRNA) molecules are approximately 80 nucleotides in length. Their secondary structure includes four short double-helical elements and three loops (D, anti-codon, and T loops). Lineage: Bacteria; Bacillati; Bacillota; Bacilli; Lactobacillales; Lactobacillaceae. The record is from RNAcentral. RNAcentral also lists the same sequence under 21 other names.